This 274-nucleotide ribosomal RNA is filed under the name uncultured bacterium. Its description in RNAcentral is "partial 16S ribosomal RNA". It matches the Rfam family "Bacterial small subunit ribosomal RNA", at positions 523 to 796 of the family's 1533-position model. The record is from RNAcentral.
AUACGGAGGGGGCUAGCGUUGUUCGGAAUUACUGGGCGUAAAGCGUACGUAGGCGGACUGAUCAGUUGGGGGUGAAAUCCCAGGGCUUAACCCUGGAACUGCCUCCAAUACUGUCAGUCUUGAGUUCGGGAGAGGUGAGUGGAAUUCCUAGUGUAGAGGUGAAAUUCGUAGAUAUUAGGAAGAACACCAGUGGCGAAGGCGGCUCACUGGCCCGAUACUGACGCUCAGGCGCGAAAGCGUGGGGAGCAAACAGGAUUAGAAACCCUAGUAGUCC